CCUACGGGUGGCAGCAGUGAGGAAUAUUGGUCAAUGGACGAGAGCCUGAACCAGCCAAGCAGCGUGAAGGAUGACUGCCCUAUGGGUUGUAAACUUCUUUUAUAUGGGAAUAAAAUGUUCCACGUGUGGGAUUUUGUAUGUACCAUAUGAAUAAGGAUCGGCUAACUCCGUGCCAGCAGCCGCGGUAAUACGGAGGAUCCGAGCGUUCUCCGGAUUUAUUGGGUUUAAAGGGAGCGUAGGUGGAUUGUUAAGUCAGUUGUGAAAGUUUGCGGCUCAACCGUAAAAUUGCAGUUGAAACUGGCAGUCUUGAGUACAGUAGAGGUAGGCGGAAUUCGUGGUGUAGCGGUGAAAUGCUUAGAUAUCACGAAGAACUCCGAUUGCGAAGGCAGCUCACUGGACUGCAACUGACACUGAGGCUCGAAAGUGUGGGUAUCAAACAGGAUUAGAUACCCUUGUAGUC
Molecule: ribosomal RNA, 460 nt
Filed under: uncultured bacterium
Lineage: Bacteria
Description: partial 16S ribosomal RNA
Rfam family: Bacterial small subunit ribosomal RNA
Source: RNAcentral